Molecule: long non-coding RNA, 775 nt
Organism: Cyprinus carpio (common carp)
Lineage: Eukaryota; Metazoa; Chordata; Actinopteri; Cypriniformes; Cyprinidae
Source: Ensembl
AUGAAAAGGUCCUUCACACCCAUGGAUUUUGCCUGUAACAUGAGGACAAGUCGAGGACUUGUCAAAGGUGAGAGCACACCUAUGGGAGUGACAGGCUUCAGUAUGGGCAUCACCAGCUCUACAGCUAGUGGGUUCUCGGAGUGUGUCACACCCAGCAGGAGGCGUCUACCCUGCACUGAUGGAGACAGAGGGAACAUGCCCCUGCUCGGCUCUAUAGGUGGCCAGAAUCAUCGGAAACAGCUGAGCCGGUUUCCAGUGUAUGUGAGGAAGAAAUUUCAGCCUGUCAUGCAAUAGCAGGGUAGUUAAUUUUGUAAUUAAUGAAAGAGCUUAAGGAGCCAGACAUUAUGAAUACUAUUGACUGAUAUGCACAAUAUCACUUGAUUGUGAUUCAGUGUAUGGUUUGUUACCUGAUGUCCAGUCACAUGCAGUACCUUUAGUUUAUGGACUUAACACUGACCUCAACAUCUGGAGCAAACAGGACUAAUGAGCUCAAGCAUCCCCGUUAUUUCCUUUUAAAAAAUUAUGAAGAAUGAAAGCCAAACCUCUUUUGUUAUUGUAAGUUAAUGCAUUUAUCAUGUAAAGUAUAAUAUUUAUUUGUUUUUACUGCUUAAAUAGAUGUCUGCGGCCAACAGGUUGAUUAAAAAUUAUUCAUAGCCUAAUUAUUUCUUUUUCGGUGAUACCAAUUCUACCAGACUGUUUGUUUCAGUAAAAAUUUAUUGAGACUUUUAUCUGCUUGGUGGAGUCAUUUGCAAUAAAACUGUUAUAUCAUUUGGCA